GAGAAGAACCAAGUGAUUUAAAUCUUUGGUUGAGUACUCAUAUGAAGAAUGGGCAAUGGUCAAAUGAAGCAUCUAAGACUGUGUAUGUAAGUAAUCUACAUAGUUCACUAUUAACAACAUUAUUCUUAUUACUUUUAAUGUCCAAUACCGACACCAAUGCUGCUGUUUAAAUUAGGACAAUGCAUGCCUAAGGCUUUCCAAGAGAGAACGCAAUGAUGAUACAAAUCCCAUCUCCACUGCAGAGGAAAACAAUGUUUUCCAAAUAUGCUACAAGCAAAGUACAGGACACAAAACCCACAGAAC
This 303-nucleotide long non-coding RNA is filed under the name Setaria viridis. RNAcentral's name for it is "long non-coding RNA (SVIR_LNC004411)". Lineage: Eukaryota; Viridiplantae; Streptophyta; Magnoliopsida; Poales; Poaceae. The record is from RNAcentral.